RNAcentral lists this ribosomal RNA (460 nucleotides) under uncultured bacterium. Its description in RNAcentral is "partial 16S ribosomal RNA". It matches the Rfam family "Bacterial small subunit ribosomal RNA", at positions 338 to 795 of the family's 1533-position model. The record is from RNAcentral.
CCUACGGGUGGCAGCAGUGAGGAAUAUUGGUCAAUGGACGAGAGUCUGAACCAGCCAAGUAGCGUGAAGGAUGACUGCCCUAUGGGUUGUAAACUUCUUUUAUAUGGGAAUAAAAUGUUCCACGUGUGGGAUUUUGUAUGUACCAUAUGAAUAAGGAUCGGCUAACUCCGUGCCAGCAGCCGCGGUAAUACGGAGGAUCCGAGCGUUAUCCGGAUUUAUUGGGUUUAAAGGGAGCGUAGGUGGAUUGUUAAGUCAGUUGUGAAAGUUUGCGGCUCAACCGUAAAAUUGCAGGUGAAACUGGCAGUCUUGAGUACAGUAGAGGUGGGCGGAAUUCGUGGUGUAGCGGUGAAAUGCUUAGAUAGCACGAAGAACUCCGAUUGCGAAGGCAGUUCACUGGACUGCAACUGACACUGAGGCUCGAAAGUGUGGGUAUCAAACAGGAUUAGAUACCCGGGUAGUC